GAUGAACGCUGGCGGCGUGCCUAAUACAUGCAAGUCGAGCGAACGGACGAGAAGCUUGCUUCUCUGAUGUUAGCGGCGGACGGGUGAGUAACACGUGGAUAACCUACCUAUAAGACUGGGAUAACUUCGGGAAACCGGAGCUAAUACCGGAUAAUAUUUUGAACCUCAUGGUUCAAAAGUGAAAGACGGUCUUGCUGUCACUUAUAGAUGGAUCCGCGCUGCAUUAGCUAGUUGGUAAGGUAACGGCUUACCAGGGCAACGAUGCAUAGCCGACCUGAGAGGGUGAUCGGCCACACUGGAACUGAGACACGGUCCAGACUCCUACGGGAGGCAGCAGUAGGGAAUCUUCCGCAAUGGGCGAAAGCCUGACGGAGCAACGCCGCGUGAGUGAUGAAGGUCUUCGGAUCGUAAAACUCUGUUAUUAGGGAAGAACAUAUGUGUAAGUAACUGUGCACAUCUUGACGGUACCUAAUCAGAAAGCCACGGCUAACUACGUG
RNAcentral lists this ribosomal RNA (497 nucleotides) under uncultured bacterium. RNAcentral describes it as "partial 16S ribosomal RNA". It matches the Rfam family "Bacterial small subunit ribosomal RNA", at positions 28 to 507 of the family's 1533-position model. The record is from RNAcentral.